Molecule: ribosomal RNA, 362 nt
Filed under: Lophopodella carteri
Lineage: Eukaryota; Metazoa; Bryozoa; Phylactolaemata; Lophopodidae
Description: partial 12S ribosomal RNA
Source: RNAcentral
GAGCCUGCUUAAAACCCAAAGGAUCUGGCGGCCUUCAAGAGUGUUAGGGGAACCUGUCGUAUAAUCGAUAAUCCACGCUAAUUUUAACUUAUCCUUGAACAUAUCAGCCUGUAUACCUCCGUCAUGACUUACCUUUGAGAGAAACGAAGUGAGUAAAAAGUAGGUUAAUUACCCUAUGACAGGUCAAGGUGCAGCUUAUGGAUAAAGUACAGAUGGGUUACAGUUCUAUAUGAGAUUAUUUAUUUUUAUAACGAACAAGUAAAUAAGAAUGAUCGGACUUAAUAGUAAGAGAUUCAUAAAUAUAGAUCUCUGAAAUACUCACUAGAAAGUGUACACACCGCCCGUCACUCUCGGAUCCCGAG